Molecule: long non-coding RNA, 8929 nt
Filed under: Cricetulus griseus (Chinese hamster)
Lineage: Eukaryota; Metazoa; Chordata; Mammalia; Rodentia; Cricetidae
Description: lncRNA (ENSCGRG00015033471.1)
Source: RNAcentral
CCCAGCACAGCUUGGAGCUGCCCGGCGGCUGGUGGUUUAAUAAGGAAGGUACUGGGUAAGGUUUGGCUGUGGACCAGGUUGGCACACGGGGUUCCAGCACAGUCCCUUUGGAGAAAUAUUUGCACAAACUAGACGAACCCAGAGGAAUUAUUUGCUUUACAUUGUAAAACACCACAGCUGAAUGUUUCCUUUUAAUUAAACGUAACACUCCAGCAUCCAUUUCCUGGACAGCUGGUCACUCCACUCCGUCCACAGCCCAGAGGACUAGAUCCAUGGCGCCGCUGUCAGGACUCAGACGGGUGCCUGUUGGCUUUGCUACAAGUGUAAGAGGCAAAGGGCGGGAUUUAGAAAGCACGGGACAGAGAUUUGUUUUCCUGUGCUUUCAGCCUGUACAUCCCUGUGUAUGUUUCCUUGGGUUCUUUUGGUUGCAAGAGACAGAAAGCCAGCUUAAAUUGGCUGUCAAAUAGGGGCCUUUGUUGACUCAGGCAACUGGUUGGUCACAGUUGCUCCUCUCUCUCCCUCCCUCCCUCCCUCCCUAUUCCUGUUAUCUAGAACAGCAUGGUAUAGGGCUUGCUCAACCCGACUGCCACACAUUGAUCCCUCACUGACCUGAAGGCCCACAGGGAGCUGGUGCACAAGGGUAGAGGCAGCCCCUCCGUGCUUGUCCCCCGAGAUCGAUCGGGGACCCAGAGGAGAAUGAGAGGGGGAGGUUGGCAGCAAAAACGGGAGGUCUCUCUGGGAGAGCCAGAAGGGGUUCCUCCAGAAAAGUUCCCUGGUCAGGGCCACUCCCCCUUCUGCAACAACCCACAGUCACCCUGUUUCUGUCCAAGGAGCACACUCACAUGGGUGACAGACUCAAACCAGCUGGCUUCCCAGAAGCCUCAGGCCUGUCCAUUGGCAGGAGGCCCGACAACUGCAACCGAAGCCCACAGUGGAAGAGGGCUGUCAGGACACUUCAGUAGAAGUGAGCCUGCACCCUGCCUGCAGCUUAGUGCACUGUGACCAACACCUGGCAUGGACAGGAGACAGACAGUCAGGACCUGUCUUUACAUCCAGCCGACAAGGACAUGUUCCCUUCAGCUCUCUUCCAGGCGAUUUAGCCUGAGCCCAGGCUUCAGUGGUGUUCCCCGAAGCCUUUCUGUCCCAGACAGCAGCUCCUUUAAUGGUAGGGGCACCAUGGGUCAGAGUUCAAGUUGCUGAGUGGGUAGGCCACUCUUUCCCUGACUCCUCUUCAUCCAAAGCCCAUUACAAGACUCAUCUUAUAGCUUUCCCCAUUACACUGGUGGCUGAGGAAUCUGUUUACCUUCCUAAAGGUUUAGCAGCCUGGUAGUGCUACUUGGAAUUAUGGCCUGUGUGUGGGCUUGCACCCACGUGGCUUUGUCCAUCAGGGGUGGAGGUAACCAUGGUCAAGGUGGAACCAUUGUCAUUGGCUCUUUGCACAUCUUCCCAGGAAGAAUAGUGAGAAGCUCUUCUUGUCCCAGCUUUGGGGUGGAUGAAAGCAGCUCUGGGAAGCAGCUCUGGGAGACUCACUGAGAGACUAACACUGACAGACCAUUGUCCACCAUAAGCCACUGGCUUUCCCUCUCUUGGCACUGUCAAUCUGCCCUGGGUAGAGAUCUGAAGCCCCCAGCCGUCAUCCAUGUGUCCACUCCCCUGAGCACCAGCCUUACGUUUGCGUGCGUAAUGCUGAGCCCAGGGCUAAACUCCGAUAGGCAGUGCUGCAGGUCACCAGUUCAGGGUGGGCAACCCCAGAGAUGGGCUGGGGGUGGGGAGCGCCAGUGUGUAUGUCUCCACAAGCUUAUUUUUAGUUGCGUUAUAUAAGUGGCUUCAUCCCGGCGUCAUGGAGGAAGGGGGGGGUCUCAGAUUUAAUUACAGAAUGACAGCCUUUGCAUUUCAAGCAAGCUGUUCUCCUGGCAAGGCAGGCACACGGAUCGGGAGUCUACUCAGCAGAAGCUGCCCUUGGGGAAGUGGCCCCCAGCAGACUGUCAGCCCACCUUCACCUCCAUCCUCUGCCAUUUGCCUAAGGUCUCCAGAGAUGGUGGGAGACCUGUGCCUGUUAAGGGAGCGCUCUCCACCCCCACCCCACCCCUACCUGGCAACUUUUCUUCUCUCUAAGGAAAGGAUCUCCCAAUCAGAACUCUUCUGUUUUCAUCCCCCAACUGAAGCUUUUGUAAUAGGUAACUCUUCUAAUAGGAGAGACAGAAAAGCUCCAGAGCCUGGGCUUCUGGGGCUUCAGGAAAAGCCUUCCGUUUUUCCCUCCACACCCUGGUCGUCCAUGUUAGCUGCUUCCUCCCUGCUUGGCAGAUGUCUGGGCCAGACCCGAGGGCAGAAGGGCAUUCUUGUAUGUCGGGCACACUGCUCUGGUUUCAGGACAGUUUGAAUGGCUGGCCAGCUUGGUGGCUAAAACCUUAUCAGCAAGAAUGUGCUGGGAGGUCCAGGUAGAAGUCUCACUCCUACCAGCAGGAAGGCUCUUUCAGCUGCUGUCAGCCACUUGGGUUUCCUCUGGCCUUCAAGGCAUAGCCUGUCACAGUAGAGGGGGGAUAGGUUGAGACCUGACCUUGGCAGGCUCAGGGUGUAGUGUGAGAAGAAGGCCCUGGUUUAAGGAACCCGUCCUAGUCACUGGUCAGCUUGCAGGCAGAGGCAGAGCAGACAUUAUGUGGUUCUGGGCAGGCUCCCUGACCUCCUUGAGCCCCCAAAGCAGAGGUUAGGGUGCUGAGCAGUAUUGGGAGGAGUCAUGCAGAGCCAUGUGGAGGAAUCACCACACUUUAGAGGCUGGCACUGUCCUGAACAGAGCGCUCUUCCUUCUCAGUCUUCCUUCCCAGCCCAGCAGGGACAGCACAGUUGACUCCUGACCAGUGUCCAGUGUGCUGCCAUGUCCCCAUCAUGACUGAAGGUGGAGAGACCGCAGCCCAGGGAUGCCUGAGGAGACAGGAAGACUGAAGGUCCCCUGACACCCUGCUGCUGGGUCCUGGGCAGGAAGAGGAGGACACUAGGUAGAAUGUGGAGAACUCUGGAUGAACUGUGGACUUUAGUUAAUGAUAUGUCGGCACCAGCACUAGAAUGGUAGUCAGUCCAUCACACUAAGGCAGCAAGCUAACAAUGGUAGCUGGGUGGGCUCAGGGGCAGUCUUCGGAUGUCUGAGGCCCUGGGCCUGUUCCCUGGUACCACUCCAAAGAAGAGGACGUGGAGUGUCUUUGCUCUGAAUGAGGAAAUGUAGAGCGAAGGACCUUGCCGGGCCCCGGGCUACAGGUCAGAGGGUGCUGGGAGCUGCCAUGUCUGCCUUGCCUGUGCAAGCUGAGGUCUAAAGAGCAGAGCAGUUCAGCUCUCUUGCUAUACCAGAGGUGGGUGCUUCCCUGCUUCCUCCCAGGCUGCACCUCAGCUUUACGUGUAACUGGCUCCUCAGCCGCCAUGUGGGUCCUGCUUCCUGCUGUAGGAAGCAGAUUAGCCCAGGGCACCUGGCCAUCUCUUGUGUCUUCUGUUUCCUCUUAAACAUACGGUAUGGCUGGAAAGAAGGGACCAGGAAGGGCACUUGCCUGACGGAUGGAGGUGUGAACAUGGUCUUGUGGUUUUCCAGAGUGUCACCCGACACUGUCCUCUGUCCUCUUCGACACACGGCCUUAAAAAUCCCAUUGGCACUGUGGCCUCCUACAGAGCCUCCCCUACAGGCAGGCCCAGGAAGACAGAGCCUUUGUGCCCGCAUCCUGCCCUGUCGCCCCGGCAGAGGGGAAGCCUCCCCAGCAACCAUCCCCUUAUGUAAUCUGCACAUCACAGCGGCAUGACUCCAGGUGCCUGUGGGAGGUAGCGCGGGGGUGAGUGCAGGGGCGCAAACAAGCCUCGAAGUUUCCUUGGGUGCUUCUCCUCUUGCUACAUUUCAGCACCAUCCUGUGUCUGCCAGCUCGGUCACCCACUUGCCUAUUAGAAUACAUUAACUGACAAUGCAGACUUAAAUAACUUGAGCAGGUGUCAGGCUGCAGUGGAGCCCUCUGCACUGAACCCUUCUGCAGCUGGCCAAGUGAGCUCAGAGGACUAUGGUCCAAGGUUGGUGAUGAGUGCAGUCUGCAGACCAAGCAUACACAAGACCAAACUUAAGAGUGCUGGGAUACAGGUGUCCUCGUCAACAUGGGAAACCCACCCUAUGUCAGGCACACCCAUUCUUUCUGUGCACACCCAGCCUGUGGUGGGGCUGUAAAGACAGCUCUAGCAGCAGAAGCCUAGCACAGGCAGACCUGGCUGUGCCCUCCUGCUCCACCAAGUGUCCUUCGUAGGCCAGAGUGGUCCCUUAGCUUCCCUGGGAAAAGAUGAAAGACAAACUUUGCUUCCUGCUUAUUGUUCUGAUUUGCUUACCCCAAAUAAAACAUCCUUUUUCUUCUUAUUGUUUUGCCUCUUUUUUUUUUUUUUUUUUUUUUUGAGACAGGGUUUCUCUGUGUGGCUUUGGAGGCUGUCCUGGAACUCACUCUAGACCAGGCUGGCGGAUCACAGAGAUCCUCCUGCCUCUGCCUCCCGAGUGCUGGGAUUAAAGGCGUGUUUCACCACCACCCAGCCUGCUCUGCCUCUUAAAUUAAGUUGCCUUGAACAGGUCUAAAGGUGUUUUCAGGUUGUGGCAGAGGAAAUUGUUUUCCAGACCCUGAAGUCAAAAGACACCCAACCCGAGCCGUGCGGUGUUCCUCCAGGUCCUUUCCCACCGCACCGCCGUCCCCAGCUGGUGCUGCCAGAGCAAGAAGCCCAGACACGUACACGCUGCUUCCCAUGCUCGCUCACAGAUGGCUUCCCUGCCCAGGGCUGGCUGGCUGCUGCUAAUUUCGGCUGCUGGAGGCUCCGUGUGCGCUCUCUCUUUUUUUAAUUCUGUGUUUAUUUAAAGCCAGAUUUUGAAAUCUUGUCUUCAACUCUGAAAUCUGAAAUUUUCUUGCAGCAGAUCUCACCCACCCCACCCCCCCAAUACACACACACAGGACACAAAGUAUAGGGAAGCCUGAUGAACAACUGGCCAGGGCCCCUCAUAGCAGAGAGCUCAGGAGAUCCCUUGAAUAUGCUUGGUGUUUCCGUGUAAACAGGGGAAGCCAUGUGGAGUGUCUGAUCAGAGGCCAGAGGCUCGCCUGCUGCCUGGUGCUGCUGCAGGAGGGGCUGGCUGGGAUAGUACUGACUUAUCUUACCCACAGCCCUGCAACCAGGCCUGGUGUGGCCCAGGUAUCCAGGACCCCAGUGCCAAUCCCCCGCCCCCCGCUUUGUCCCUUGGGCUCUCAGAGUGCCCCUUACCCAGGAAAACCACCUAUAGGCUCUUCAUGGUUAGGGCUCUGUAAAGGAUGCCUGUCCAGCUUUCGGGUGUGUUGACACACACUGGGCUGCUCUCAGGCAGGCAGUGCCCAUGUCCUAUCUACCCAGUGUCAUGACACACAGUGGAACUCUGCCCCUGACUCUGGGACCUAGAAGACUAAACCCUGGCACGGGGAACACGUUAGAGACACACAAGGGCUGCACCCAUUGCAGGAAAGGCAACGACCCAUCGGCCCUCCCACAGCUACCCUGGAAUAUGCUAGAGGGGCUCUGGUGAAAAAGGAACCAUCUUGAGGGAACUGGUCAGAGGCUGAGGCAGAACCAGCUCCAGGAGGAAGGAGUGUGCCUAGGGCAGCGGCGGGGGUGGGAGUGGGGGGGCAUGUGAGAUACUGGCCAAGUUCCCUACCCACCUCUGCCUCUUCUCCAGCAGGCCUAGAGAGGGAAGCAUGCCGCUCCCACCCAGAGCCAUCUGCAAGCCCUGCCAGGGCCUGUCUAACACGGACAGUGUGAAGGGCUGGGGUUGUGUUCCCCGGCAUGUCCAGUCAGAGAGGAAGAUGACUGAGAAAAACUAGUGGAGAUCAGGCUUGGGAACGCCAUUUCUCUAGCAGGUCUUCUUCUCUCAGGGUUGGGAGACAGACCUUUGUAGAGGACUGUAAAAAACUAGGUAUCCCCUGUCUGUAUGAAAGGAAUACUCUGUCCCUGCCAGGAAACCAUGGCUCUAAAAGGAUGUGUGUGACAUUUCACCCACUGUCCAACCAAAGCUCAGCUGUGCCACCUUUCCACACGUCACUCUGCAGCCACUGCUGGCAGAAACAUGGAAGCUGCCAAAGCGCCACGGGAUCUGCUAACUCUCACCCUAAUCUGAGGGGGUUUUUCCUGCAGGAACCAACAAAAUCCUCUGCAUAGCUUGAGGAGUUGGCCUUCUGAGCCUCGGAGCUGGUGUUGGUGGGCUCGGUGGUGUUCACCUGCCUGGGCUCUUACUUUCCAAGGAGAAAACCCCACAUUCUGGAUUCCAAAGGCUUAGGCAGGACGCAGGCUCAGGGCUCCAGAAGCCUGAAGUUGAACUGUGGAUCUCAACCCUUGGGGUUUUAGGAAAGACUGAAGCUUUUGGGCCCCCAUGCAGAGGGCUCUCUUCACUGCCCCCUGGUGGAAAGUCAAAGAAAGGAGCAGGGAAGACUUACUCUCCCUUCAGGCUGAGGAAGAAAGAAGAAGCUGACAGCUGCUGCUGCUGCAGUGGGCUCUCCUGGAGCCUUCGAUGGACAUGAGGGCAGCUUGUGCACCUAUAAAUUGGUGCUUCUGGGAAAUAGUGUUUGUGCUGUUUUCUAGGGACCCAGUGACAUCUUAAAAUAGAGAGGUAAAAUCGCCUAAAACUAAAAAAAAAAAAAAAACCUCUUAAGGUGUUCAAUUCUGCUCAUUUGAAUGACAGGCAGUGUGCAUGUAUAACCUGUACCCACUACCAUCCGUCUGCCAAGUUCAAAAUCGCUUCAUUCUUUUCCCUUGGAUAUUUUGUUUUUUCUGGUUUGGGUUUUGGCUGGUUGUCUGUCCCUUUGUUUUUGAGAUAGGGACUCAUGGAGCUCCAGUUGAAUGUCCCAGUCCUCCUGACGCCACCUCCCACGCGCUAGGAGUAGGGGAGCUGGGACUGAAGGUGGCCCCGAGCAGCACAGACAGGCGCCUUCCCAGGUGAGCCACGUCCUCUCCCAGAACUGAUGGCUGUGCUAACUGUACUUAAUUUAACUCUGUCCGGGGAUCCAUGAGGCUGCCAGGCCCCUCUUAUCCUCAGCAACACACGUCCCCCUGUUUUUAGACCAUAGCCACCCUGGUGAGCAUGAGUGGGGCCAUUGUUUCUUGACCACUUCCCUGGUGGCCAAUGAGGGGCCUGUCAGCCUCUUCUUCCCCGGGUCUCCUUUGUUGAUUUUAUCCCACUGAGAACCUCAUACGUGAACAUGCAUCUACAUGACCCCUACUGCGCUGGGACCCCCCAGCUCCACCCAUACCCCUCCCACACCCGUGAUCUCUUCUUUAUUAUUGUUGCAUGUAUAUUUAAUGUGUGUGUAUGCAUAUAUGCACACACAUACAAAUAAUCCACUGAGUCCAUUUCACUCUGAGUCUAUGUACGUGUGUCCGGGAUGACCACGUGGGACUGGACAGGAGUCUUCUCUCUCUCUCUCUCUUGUGGUAUUUUUGUUUGUUUACCUUUUUUUCUUUCUUGAGUCUUCUCUUUUUAAGAAGGAACCACAGCCUUCACUCCAGCGCUCCAGUGGGAGGGAGCUGGCAGGUGCCUCGGGACAACCGGCUGUAACUGGCCUCAGCUCAGAGCCCCAGCUCUUGAUGAAGCCUGACAGAUGCACAGUGAGAUAGACAUUGGAGUUGGGUGGGAGCCCCCACCCACUCUUACAGACACUUGUGAGAGCCCAGGUUAGCAGGGACAGGGCCGAGAGGCAGCCUCCAGGGACCAGGUCAUCCGGGGGACUGGGGUGGAGGAGCUGUGUCUUACUCACAGGGUGCUGGGCCGGGUGAGUUCCCCCGACUCACAAGAAUUACAGCUUCUUCCCCGUAGGCUGUGCCUGCUGCACCUGGCAGACCGGAGCCAUGGCGGCUUCAGCAGGAGUGGGCUUAUUAAAGAGUGUCAGGGAGAGACCCAGAAAAAGAGCCGCAGCAACUAGUCCCAGUGAGAGCAGAGCAGCCCCCCACACACACCAUAGCCAUUGCCAGCCCCCGACCUAAUUGUCUCCGUAAGCAAGAGACCCCAGCCUGGCUGGCCUCCAGGGGACCCUGUUGACUCCCACAAGUCAGAGAACAACUUGCCUGAACUGAUUCACCUGAUUCUUUCCUGCCAUUGAGUCCUGAGGGUUGAAUUCAAGGCCUUAGGCCUGACAGCAAGUGCCUCCGCCACUUAACUUUCUCACUGGCCUAGUGGAAAGUUGUGUGUUUGUUUGAGACUGAGUCUCCAUGUGGUUCUGGCUGACCUGGAAGUCACUGUGUAGACCAGGCUGGUCUUGAACUCAGAGAUACACCGGCCUCCCAGUGCUGGAAUUAAAGUUAUCAUGAAAGUGAGCAAGGGUGAUGCCACUCAGGCUGAGCAGCAGGGUGCUGAGCUGGUGUCCUUGCAGAGAAGUCUUUUCCUGCAAAGCUGCAGUGGCCUCUUCAGGGCUGUGACUCAAGCCUCCAUUCCCGAGAAGCCAUCACCUCCUCCCAGCUUUGAGCCCCAGGCAAGUGCUUGGGGGGAAGGGAACGCCUGUGGUCGGCUCCAGCCAGGCCAAAGGAGUUUCCACCUUCCCUCCCAGCUCCAGGACCAGUGAGGCCCCAGGGCCUCUGGCCACACUGAGCCACAGCAGCAGCUUUACUCUUAGGUGACAGGGGUCUGAGUCACCGGCUGUGGGCUUGCGUGACUUGCCACGGCAGAACUUAGAGCAUGCAGCCUUAAGUUUGCGGUUCAGCAUCUGGUCUCAGCUGAAAAUCUCUAUUACCACCACAUCCACUUUCCGCUGUUCCCUCAAAGCCGGUGCCUGCUGGGUGCACAUAGCAUCAGUAGUGAAUGGGCACAUUCCCAGGGCCGGAUUGUCAUGGGAUGGACUUCCAUGUCACCAGGCCGGGGCCCCUACACUGCAGCUUGUGGGCCACUACAGGUCUUUUCAAAUAAAGUUGUGUUUGUUUGUGG